This 334-nucleotide transfer-messenger RNA is filed under the name Parahaliea aestuarii. It matches the Rfam family "transfer-messenger RNA". Rfam says of the family: Bacterial tmRNA, also known as 10Sa RNA or SsrA, is named for its dual tRNA and mRNA-like properties. Its role is to liberate the mRNA from a stalled ribosome. Lineage: Bacteria; Pseudomonadati; Pseudomonadota; Gammaproteobacteria; Cellvibrionales; Halieaceae. The record is from RNAcentral.
UCUGGAUUCGACGACGGUAACGAACCCUGAGGUGCAUGCCGUGAUGGCAGCGAAUCACGUUAAUCAAAAGCUGUAAACUUAUAGUUGCCAACGACGACAACUACGCUCUGGCGGCAUAAACCCCGCUAGCGGUCUUUAGCAAGGUGCCAGUAUCGCGCUACUGACCGUCAUAUAGAACUGGAUCGCAGCAAAGCGCGCCCUGGGCCGCGUUGCUAAACUUUUACAGGGCUCGCCAAUCACGUCCUGCCCGUUGGGCUGUGUGCGGUUAAACUAAUUAACGGAAUCUAAGCAUGUAGAGCCGAAGGCAGAGUGCUGGCGGACGCGGGUUCGAUUA